CUCCUAAAAAUAUAAAGCUAAACUAGUCUUGAACACGGGUGUUAUAAAGGUCAUGAUUUCUGAUCAAUAUACUUACACAACACUCAUAGAUGGGCUAUCCAAAGCAAAAAGAUUGGAAGAUUCAAAUAUGGUUUUAGAAGAUAUGUAUAUUACUUUUUUUUGUGGCAAAUUUUUGUGAUGAUUAGGAAAUUUGUGAGGUAGUGCUGGUUGUGAUCGUGGCAAAAAGAGCAAUACGGUGGUGGUGUAUGGCUACAUGAUGGGGAUUUGGAGACCCUAAAAGCGUUUCAGAUGAAAACGAGGAAGUUCGAGUAAAGCGAAAGACGGAAGAAGGAGAAUUCAUGAAGUAAAUCAGUGAAUUGAAAAUCAUAGUACAGUCGUUUUAAGCAUAUGGCUUGUAAUAUUGAGGAGAAGUCAUUCUGGGUUGAACUGGGAGCCGAUUUAUUAGUCGAGGUGAAAACAUUGCAAAUAGGCAUCUGGCGAAUGUCAAAGAUUUGGUGAUAGCUUCAAGAAUGCAAAAUCCAUUUUAAUUGGGAAGGUAAUUUCUUGCAAGAGAUAUAAUGGUUAUUAAUUUUUAAAUAUGCCGACCACUGGGCUUUGAAAUUCUACAUGUUAAUUACUUUACUGUAGGUUAUACACACAUUUUAGCUAUCCAAAACAUUCUAAUUUUGUAGGGUUUUUUUAUCAUUAUAUUUAUGUUGGUCCAACCUACAGAACGUGAAAAAGCUUUUAUGUAUUCAUUAUCUCUUGUGUUAUGAUGCUUUCCUUGUUUCUGUAAUUUUAGUUUUUCCCUUGGUCCAACCCUUUUGUAU
Lactuca sativa (garden lettuce) is the source of this 809-nucleotide non-coding RNA. The record is from RefSeq and is a predicted model, not a curated record. Lineage: Eukaryota; Viridiplantae; Streptophyta; Magnoliopsida; Asterales; Asteraceae.